RNAcentral lists this microRNA (23 nucleotides) under Mus musculus (house mouse). RNAcentral describes it as "mmu-miR-1970". Lineage: Eukaryota; Metazoa; Chordata; Mammalia; Rodentia; Muridae. The record is from miRBase by way of RNAcentral.
UGUGUCACUGGGGAUAGGCUUUG